This 497-nucleotide ribosomal RNA is filed under the name uncultured bacterium. RNAcentral describes it as "partial 16S ribosomal RNA". It matches the Rfam family "Bacterial small subunit ribosomal RNA", at positions 28 to 507 of the family's 1533-position model. The record is from RNAcentral.
GACGAACGCUGGCGGCGUGCCUAAUACAUGCAAGUCGAGCGAACAGACGAGGAGCUUGCUCCUUUGUCGUUAGCGGAGGACGGGUGAGAAACAUGUGGAUAACCUCCCUAUAAGACUGGGAAAACUUCGAGAAACCGGAGAAAAUCCCGGAUAAUAUACUGAUCCGUGUGGGUGGAUGGUGAAAGACGGCUUUGGUGUAUCUACUAGCUGGAUCCGCGCCGCAUUAGCUAGUUGGUAAGGUAACGGCUUACCAAGGGGACGAUGCGUAGGCGAGCUACGAGGGUGGUCGGCCACACUGGAACUUAGACACGGUCCUGACGCCUACGGGACGCACCAGUAGGGAAUCUUCCGCAAUAGGCGAAAGCCUUACGGAGUGACGCCGCGUGAGUUAUGAAGGUCUUCGGAUCGUAAAACUCUGUUAUUAGUGAAGAACAAAUGUGUAAGUAACUGUGCACGGCUUGACGGUACCUAAUCAGAAAGCCACGGCUAACUACGUG